CAGACAUUUAGUCACGCAUCCAUCAUGUAUUUAUGGAGUGCCUACCAGUCGCAGAGUCGCACGGCUCUGUUCUGGGCUCUGGAGCUAUAUCAGUGAGCAAUGUAUAUAUAUAAAACAAUGUUGAUUGAAUUUCAUCGUGACGAAAGUUAGGACACAGAGGGGAAAGACAGUGACUCCAGAGAAGUGACGUGACUUCCCCUAAGUCACGCAGCUGAUAACAAUGAAGAAACCAAUCCACACAGCAAGCAGGAGUGUGAGAGAUGAGCCACCCCUCCCUCUGAAAAGGGGUCGUUUAGAUCCUUCCUGUGCACAUGAGUCUCACGUCACCCUCCGGAGUGUCGAGAAGAAAGACGAGCCGUGGAACGGACAGCUCAGUGGCGUUGUGUUCACACGGCUGUGCCACCACCACCAACCUCCCCCUCCAGAGUCUAAAGCCCUCUGCACCUGUUAGGACAGCCAAUUCCCGAUGUGCCCUGCGGGCAGUGCUCUCCUCCCUGACUGUGAUGCUGACUGUUCUAGUAAGUUCCUUACAGAAGGAGACGUGUACAGUAUUUGUCUUCUCUUUCUUUCCUUCUUUCUUUGGUUUCUCUCCUUUUCUUUCUG
Molecule: long non-coding RNA, 603 nt
Organism: Peromyscus leucopus (white-footed mouse)
Lineage: Eukaryota; Metazoa; Chordata; Mammalia; Rodentia; Cricetidae
Exons: 4
Source: RefSeq, a predicted model, not a curated record